AUUUAUUCGUUUCAUUUCGUUUGUAACAACAGGUAGAAUAAUAAGCAAAUCUUAAGAUACACAAUACUGACUAGAGCUGCCAAGUGACUGGAAAGAUAAAGUGCCUCUUAUUUUAUCUCUCUUACACCUACAUCUGUCGUUUCAGUUGAGAGAAAUGAAAGGGAGUCUGCCCUUAUUUUCUUGCGUAUUUGUGACAGCAUGUAUGACUUGCCAGCAUUUGGGAGGGAAGGAGAUGGUACUUCUCAGACCCAGUAAUGCUCAGCUGAACAAAAAAAAAAGAAAGGUCAAAUGCAAGAGCUAAAGGCACAGGGGAACAUUGCUCUCUUUAACUAGAAAAUGAAGAACAGUACUGUCCUUAAGACCAGGAGAAAGGUACAGGCCACAGAAGUCUUGUGAAGCUGUAGGUUAAUAGGGUGAUCUUUGGCUACCCAUUGGUUUAUUUUGCAUCGCUGCAGAAUGCUGGAUUUUAAAUUGCUAGAGCAAGUGCAACUGUAUAGUUGUCUCUAGUAUAUGUGCAUUUAAUGAAGCAGUGGUUGUAAAUGCUUCUGGAUCUGUAGAUCCUGCUGCCCAAGGUGGUGUGAAUUAAAUGACCUGACAGUAGGGUUAUUUCUCCAGUUACCCUUUUCAACUCUUUGUGGUAAUUAACAGCCCACAAGGACUGGAAGCCACAGAUUGAAAAUCCCUGCAUGGCACUAUUUUUUUUCCCCUUAACUGAGUUAUAAAGAGUGGCCUUGUGAUUUCCUGGACUUAUUACCGGUUCUGGCUAGAAUAAACCAGUAAAAAUAAACUGGAUAAAUGGGGUAAAAAUGCUUUCUAUAUAUUUGACCCUAUGCCUGUAAUCAUAUCACUGUAUCAACUAGUGCUGCGCAGAACAAAUAUGUGGAAAUAAUUUGCAAGAAAGAUUGACACUAAAAGGUUACAUUUUUCUUGAGACUGUGCUGUUUGCAUAAUAAUUUCAUAUAGUGAUCUUAUUUGCCUAGCAGCUGAUAACAUUUCUUGAUGGCAUCCAGCUGUAGCUAGGGUUGGUAUAAUUGGCAGCUUCUUUCUGAAGACAUUUGUUCUGGGGAACUCUGGUAAGAGCUGUGGGCUGACUGCUCAAAGACCUUGCAACAGCUGGAGUAGCUGAUUCUGCAGAAGAGGUUGGCCUGCACAGGAUGUUAAUGAGCUAUUAAUUACUGUCUGGGUAGCUGUUACCUUCAGUCACAUGAGUGAAGUUUAUAUAUGUCAGAUAUGUCUGGAUAUAAACGGUGUUGGACUUGACAUUCUCAGUUUCUUCUAUGAAUUCCACAUCUAAGGGGCUACACAGCAGGUAACUCAUAACUGAUCUGAGAUAUGAUAGAGCCAGCCUGCUUUUUUAAAGCACCUCAUUUAAUCUUUCAUUUCUAUGACUUUUAAUAAAAGCCCAGAAGGUAAGAAGGAGAUGGACUAAAAUAAUCUGUUAAUUAAAAACAAGCAAACAAAGAAUAACCCCCCAAAAAAAUGAAAAGAAAGCACCAACUUUAGACUAUACAUUCUAUACAUAGAAUUGGCCAGGGCUUUUUCGUUACAGUAAGUCUGAAAUGUGGAAGUAUCUUAGGUGAAUCUGUUGGCAUAGCAACUUAGAUUGAGCAGAAGAGUGCCAUCAUAGUCAGAAAAUAGUGUAUGUUGUGAUACUGUUGCAUGCUACUGCCACUUCUCUGCAGACAGGGCCCUCUGGGGUUCACAUUAAACUCAUAAUGAUUCAGUUCAAGCUUCUAAGAACAUUUGGCCCCGGCAGCACAUACACUGUAGCUUGAUGUAGAUCUACCAAUGAUGUUACAACUGUCACUCCCAUAACAGCAGGAUGGCACCUAACCCUGUAGUUACCACGCUGAGAAGGGGCAGAAGGUCCAUUUUACCUCCAACAGAGUCAUAUGGUUUUUGCCUUCAUCAUCAACUGAUAGUUUAUUUGUUGCUUCUCUCAGGGUGGUUUGAAGGCUACAGAAGUUACUGGAUGGAAUACUAGGCUGUGCCUUGCUAUGUGGGAUAAAGGGAGUAGGAGUGUCUGUUCUCUGGGGGAGGAAAACAAAGGCAUUACAGGUAGUGUAUGAAGCAUUUAUAUAUGGCAGCAUUGAGGAAAAACAGAAUAUCAAAGCCUUAGACUUUGUCAAUGAUAAUAACAGCAGAUGUUAUGAAUUAUAUAUUUUUAAUUGAAUAUUUUGCGCAUCAACAUUGAUGGAAAAUCUGUCAUUACUUUUAAGCCUUGUCUCUGAUGGAGAUCUGUUUGUAUCUAUCUACGUACCCAUACCUGAGCAGUGCAACUCACUGCAGGUCAAAAAAUUACAACCUCCAAUGAUUGCAGUGGGAGAACUUAAUGGUUCUUCAUUUGUGUGUAUCUUCUACAGAGAAAUUCAGUGAGUGUUAGAGCACUGUGGAAACAAUCUUUGUGAUAGUUUGAGUUCUUCAGCACUGUAAUGGCUGUGGCAUCUCCACCACUGACUGUCAGCAGUGCCUUCUGUCCAAAUUUACUUCUUUGUAUUUUUGGCAACUGCUCAUUUUUUUCUUAUUUAUAGCUGGGAUACAGUUGGAAUCCCUGUGAAUUUCUUCUGCAGAAAGAGGUAGACAAGAUUAUAUGUAAUGUGUAAGGUCAUUCAUGAGAUUAUCCUUCCUGAGUGCACAGACCUAAACUGUGUUGACUAAUAAGAGAAAUAAUGACUUUGAAGUAGGACCAGAGAAAACGAUGCAGAGAGGGCUGGUUUCCCUCUUCCUGGGUUGAUGCAGUCUUGUGUUCCUAAGGCUGAAAGCCAGGGCUCCCAGGGAUCUGAAGCUUUAAAUGCUGGUCUCAGGGAGAGGAGAAAAGGAAGUAGUCCAAGGAAUGCUGGCAAAAGCUGCCAGGAAUGCAGCAGGGAAGGCCCAUGAGCAGGAGUGCCUGUCUCUCCUAGCCAGAGAUCUGGAUUAGCUGCACUGAGGGGACUUUCCAGUCAUUGCUUGUGAGCCUUGCAGAGCUAAGGGAAAACAUGAAUGUUGUAAUACUCAUUAUACUGCUGCUUUGUGCUGCAGGGUUGACACAGCUAUUAAUUCAGUACUUUGAAUUCUGGAAGCCAAAGCACUUGUUUCAGAUCUCAAAAAGGUUAGCAUUUACAAAAUGCCACAUCCUUAUUUAAUCAAAGCUUCACAAGGAGACUCUGGAAGAAUAGAACUGUUCAGCUUGGCACACACAUCAAAAUUUUACAUAGCAAGUGAGGCAGGCACUCUUGACCAAAUGGAAACCAACCUCUGCUGGCACGUGAAAGCCUUGCAUUAUAAAACUCGGGUUCAUCAUAGAGAUGUUCUGUUCUCAUCUUUUAUAGGAAGAAUGUAACAGAUGAGGUUUUCUGAUACUCUGCUAGUCUGACAUCUGCAAGGGUCACUCUGCAUCUGCAAACCAAUGGAUGGAACCUCAGCUGAAGCCAGUGAAACCUCCCUACCUUGUGUUAGCAGGGCAUGGAGACUUUACCAGUAUUAUUUCUUUUUCAGAUGCAGUCAGCUGGUGGGAGAUACCAAAGCCUGUAGUGGCUGCACUAAACACAAAGUCUUGUGAAAACUCUAAUGAUACAAGCCCUGUGCAUGAUCAUAACUGUAAUAAUCAUUACUAAUAACUUGCUUUUGGAUCCUGUUACUCAGCAGUCUGAAAGUGUUAACUGCUACCUAAAUAUAGAUGAAAAAGUGACUCUGAAAGACUUUGUGUCUUUGUUUCAAUCUGUCUUAUGAAAAUGAAAGCUGGAACGCUGCAUGAGAAAAAUCUUGAAGUCUUUCACGGAUAAAACCUUUAGAUAUGA
Molecule: long non-coding RNA, 3776 nt
Organism: Pezoporus occidentalis (night parrot)
Lineage: Eukaryota; Metazoa; Chordata; Aves; Psittaciformes; Psittacidae
Exons: 4
Source: RefSeq, a predicted model, not a curated record